GAUGAACGCUGGCGGCGUGCCUAAUACAUGCAAGUCGAACGAGGCCCUUUGUAUUCGUACAAAGGUGUCCUAGUGGCGAACGGGUGAGUAACACGUAGGUGACCUGCCCCAAAGAGGAGGACAACCCCGGGAAACUGGGGCUAAUACUCCAUAAUCUCCAGGGAGUUAGAUACCCCUGGAGCAAAGGAGCAAUCUGCUUUGGGAGGGGCCUGCGGCCCAUCAGCUAGUUGGUAGGGUAAUGGCCUACCAAGGCGAUGACGGGUAGGGGGCCUGAGAGGGUGGUCCCCCACAAUGGAACUGAAACACGGUCCAUACACCUACGGGUGGCAGCAGUAGGGAAUAUUGCCCAAUGGACGAAAGUCUGAGGCAGCAACGCCGCGUGCGCGAUGAAGGCCUUCGGGUUGUAAAGCGCUUUUCUGGGGGAAGAGGAAGGACGGUACCC
This 442-nucleotide ribosomal RNA is filed under the name uncultured Bellilinea sp. RNAcentral describes it as "bacterial SSU rRNA". It matches the Rfam family "Bacterial small subunit ribosomal RNA", at positions 28 to 480 of the family's 1533-position model. Lineage: Bacteria; Bacillati; Chloroflexota; Anaerolineae; Anaerolineales; Anaerolineaceae. The record is from RNAcentral.